GAGCGUCAUUUAAACCUUCAAGCUCUGCUUGGUGUUGGGUGUUUGUUCCGCCUCUGUGCGUGGACUCGCCUCAAAUUCAUUGGCAGCCGGUAUGUUGGCUUCGUGCGCAGCACAUUGCGUCUCGACUCUGACUAUCUCCUUCCAUCAAGCCUCUUUUUUACUUUGACCUCGGAUCAGGUAGGGAUACCCGCUGAACUUAA
Molecule: unclassified non-coding RNA, 200 nt
Filed under: soil metagenome
Description: partial contains internal transcribed spacer 2 and large subunit ribosomal RNA
Source: RNAcentral